GAUCAUGGCUCAGGAUGAACGCUGGCGGCGUGCUUAACACAUGCAAGUCGAACGAAGCACUUUACCUGAUUUCCUUCGGGGAUGAUUGUUCUGUGACUGAGUGGCGGACGGGUGAGUAACGCGUGGAUAACCUGCCUCACACAGGGGGAUAACAGUUGGAAACGACUGCUAAUACCGCAUAAGCGCACAGCACCGCAUGGUGCAGUGUGAAGAACUCCGGUGGUGUG
This 227-nucleotide ribosomal RNA is filed under the name uncultured bacterium. RNAcentral's name for it is "partial 16S ribosomal RNA". It matches the Rfam family "Bacterial small subunit ribosomal RNA", at positions 15 to 222 of the family's 1533-position model. The record is from RNAcentral.